AAGAAAUAAAUAACAAGAGGCUGUCACAACGACAGCAAACCGGAUUUAUUAAUAUUUAUUUGUGUCCUGGCAAUAUCACAAGAACCAUUACUGAUGAAUGGUGAAAGUGAAAAUCUUCAAUAUCAAAUUUGACCUCCAUUUUGUCAUCAGUAUCAACAUCUUAAAAUUUGAAAAGCUUAGAUUGAAUGGUUCAUGAGUAAAUGCAACAACGUGAAUGGAAACGCCAUUUCACAAUCUUUCAAGAACCAUAACUCCUAAACGGUAAAAGUCAAAAUCGUCAUUAUUGAACUUGACCUCUAAUUUGCCAUCAGUAACAACAUAUAAAAAUUUCAAAAGCUUUGGUUGAAUGGUUCAUGAGAAAAUGCACGGACAC
RNAcentral lists this long non-coding RNA (373 nucleotides) under Mytilus galloprovincialis (Mediterranean mussel). The record is from RNAcentral. Lineage: Eukaryota; Metazoa; Mollusca; Bivalvia; Mytilida; Mytilidae.